This 2923-nucleotide ribosomal RNA is filed under the name Klebsiella pneumoniae. RNAcentral's name for it is "bacterial LSU rRNA". It matches the Rfam family "Bacterial large subunit ribosomal RNA". The record is from RNAcentral. RNAcentral also lists the same sequence under 1 other name. Lineage: Bacteria; Pseudomonadati; Pseudomonadota; Gammaproteobacteria; Enterobacterales; Enterobacteriaceae.
GGGUUGUGAGGUUAAGCGACUAAGCGUACACGGUGGAUGCCCUGGCAGUCAGAGGCGAUGAAGGACGUGCUAAUCUGCGAAAAGCGUCGGUAAGGUGAUAUGAACCGUUAUAACCGGCGAUGUCCGAAUGGGGAAACCCAGUGCAAUUCGUUGCACUAUCGUUAACUGAAUACAUAGGUUAACGAGGCGAACCGGGGGAACUGAAACAUCUAAGUACCCCGAGGAAAAGAAAUCAACCGAGAUUCCCCCAGUAGCGGCGAGCGAACGGGGAGCAGCCCAGAGUCUGAAUCAGCUUGUGUGUUAGUGGAACGGUCUGGAAAGUCCGACGGUACAGGGUGAUAGUCCCGUACACCAAAAUGCACAGGCUGUGAACUCGAAGAGUAGGGCGGGACACGUGGUAUCCUGUCUGAAUAUGGGGGGACCAUCCUCCAAGGCUAAAUACUCCUGACUGACCGAUAGUGAACCAGUACCGUGAGGGAAAGGCGAAAAGAACCCCGGCGAGGGGAGUGAAAAAGAACCUGAAACCGUGUACGUACAAGCAGUGGGAGCACCUUCGGGUGUGACUGCGUACCUUUUGUAUAAUGGGUCAGCGACUUAUAUUCUGUAGCAAGGUUAACCGUAUAGGGGAGCCGCAGGGAAACCGAGUCUUAACUGGGCGUUAAGUUGCAGGGUAUAGACCCGAAACCCGGUGAUCUAGCCAUGGGCAGGUUGAAGGUUGGGUAACACUAACUGGAGGACCGAACCGACUAAUGUUGAAAAAUUAGCGGAUGACUUGUGGCUGGGGGUGAAAGGCCAAUCAAACCGGGAGAUAGCUGGUUCUCCCCGAAAGCUAUUUAGGUAGCGCCUCGUGAAUUCAUCUUCGGGGGUAGAGCACUGUUUCGGCUAGGGGGUCAUCCCGACUUACCAACCCGAUGCAAACUACGAAUACCGAAGAAUGUUAUCACGGGAGACACACGGCGGGUGCUAACGUCCGUCGUGAAGAGGGAAACAACCCAGACCGCCAGCUAAGGUCCCAAAGUCAUGGUUAAGUGGGAAACGAUGUGGGAAGGCACAGACAGCCAGGAUGUUGGCUUAGAAGCAGCCAUCAUUUAAAGAAAGCGUAAUAGCUCACUGGUCGAGUCGGCCUGCGCGGAAGAUGUAACGGGGCUAAACCAUGCACCGAAGCUGCGGCAGCGACACUAUGUGUUGUUGGGUAGGGGAGCGUUCUGUAAGCCUGCGAAGGUGACCUGUGAGGGUUGCUGGAGGUAUCAGAAGUGCGAAUGCUGACAUAAGUAACGAUAAAGCGGGUGAAAAGCCCGCUCGCCGGAAGACCAAGGGUUCCUGUCCAACGUUAAUCGGGGCAGGGUGAGUCGACCCCUAAGGCGAGGCCGAAAGGCGUAGUCGAUGGGAAACAGGUUAAUAUUCCUGUACUUGGUGUUACUGCGAAGGGGGGACGGAGAAGGCUAUGUUAGCCGGGCGACGGUUGUCCCGGUUUAAGCAUGUAGGCUGGUUAUCCAGGCAAAUCCGGAUAAUCAAGGCUGAGGUGUGAUGACGAGGCACUACGGUGCUGAAGUAACAAAUGCCCUGCUUCCAGGAAAAGCCUCUAAGCAUCAGGUAACAUCAAAUCGUACCCCAAACCGACACAGGUGGUCAGGUAGAGAAUACCAAGGCGCUUGAGAGAACUCGGGUGAAGGAACUAGGCAAAAUGGUGCCGUAACUUCGGGAGAAGGCACGCUGGUGUGUAGGUGAAGUCCCUGCGGAUGGAGCUGAGACCAGUCGAAGAUACCAGCUGGCUGCAACUGUUUAUUAAAAACACAGCACUGUGCAAACACGAAAGUGGACGUAUACGGUGUGACGCCUGCCCGGUGCCGGAAGGUUAAUUGAUGGGGUUAUCCGUAAGGAGAAGCUCUUGAUCGAAGCCCCGGUAAACGGCGGCCGUAACUAUAACGGUCCUAAGGUAGCGAAAUUCCUUGUCGGGUAAGUUCCGACCUGCACGAAUGGCGUAAUGAUGGCCAGGCUGUCUCCACCCGAGACUCAGUGAAAUUGAACUCGCUGUGAAGAUGCAGUGUACCCGCGGCAAGACGGAAAGACCCCGUGAACCUUUACUAUAGCUUGACACUGAACAUUGAGCCUUGAUGUGUAGGAUAGGUGGGAGGCUUUGAAGCGUGGACGCCAGUCUGCGUGGAGCCAACCUUGAAAUACCACCCUUUAAUGUUUGAUGUUCUAACGUUGGCCCCUGACCGGGGUUGCGGACAGUGUCUGGUGGGUAGUUUGACUGGGGCGGUCUCCUCCCAAAGCGUAACGGAGGAGCACGAAGGUUAGCUAAUCCUGGUCGGACAUCAGGAGGUUAGUGCAAUGGCAUAAGCUAGCUUGACUGCGAGCGUGACGGCGCGAGCAGGUGCGAAAGCAGGUCAUAGUGAUCCGGUGGUUCUGAAUGGAAGGGCCAUCGCUCAACGGAUAAAAGGUACUCCGGGGAUAACAGGCUGAUACCGCCCAAGAGUUCAUAUCGACGGCGGUGUUUGGCACCUCGAUGUCGGCUCAUCACAUCCUGGGGCUGAAGUAGGUCCCAAGGGUAUGGCUGUUCGCCAUUUAAAGUGGUACGCGAGCUGGGUUUAGAACGUCGUGAGACAGUUCGGUCCCUAUCUGCCGUGGGCGCUGGAGAAUUGAGGGGGGCUGCUCCUAGUACGAGAGGACCGGAGUGGACGCAUCACUGGUGUUCGGGUUGUCAUGCCAAUGGCACUGCCCGGUAGCUAAAUGCGGAAGAGAUAAGUGCUGAAAGCAUCUAAGCACGAAACUUGCCCCGAGAUGAGUUCUCCCUGAGACUUUAAGUCUCCUGAAGGAACGUUAAAGACGAUGACGUUGAUAGGCCGGGUGUGUAAGCGCAGCGAUGCGUUGAGCUAACCGGUACUAAUGAACCGUGAGGCUUAACCUUACAACGCCGAAG